AGGGGGGCAACCCCCGAGUAGAGUGGCGAACGGGUGAGUAAUACAUCGGAACGUAUCCAGUAGCGGGGGAUAACCUCUCGAAAGAGAGGCUAAUACCGCAUACGACCUACGGGUGAAAGAGGGGGAUCGCAAGACCUCUCACUAUUGGAGCGGCCGAUGUCGGAUUAGCUAGUUGGCGGGGUAACGGCCCACCAAGGCGACGAUCCGUAGCUGGUCUGAGAGGACGACCAGCCACACUGGAACUGAGACACGGUCCAGACUCCUACGGGAGGCAGCAGUGGGGAAUUUUGGACAAUGGGCGCAAGCCUGAUCCAGCCAUGCCGCGUGAGUGAAGAAGGCCUUCGGG
Molecule: ribosomal RNA, 346 nt
Filed under: uncultured bacterium
Lineage: Bacteria
Description: bacterial SSU rRNA
Rfam family: Bacterial small subunit ribosomal RNA
Source: RNAcentral